GACGAACGCUGGCGGCGUGCCUAAUACAUGCAAGUCGAACGCUGAAGGAGGAGCUUGCUCUUCUGGAUGAGUUGCGAACGGGUGAGUAACGCGUAGGUAACCUGCCUGGUAGCGGGGGAUAACUAUUGGAAACGAUAGCUAAUACCGCAUAAGAGUAGAUGUUGCAUGACAUUUGCUUAAAAGGUGCAAUUGCAUCACUACCAGAUGGACCUGCGUUGUAUUAGCUAGUUGGUGGGGUAACGGCUCACCAAGGCGACGAUACAUAGCCGACCUGAGAGGGGGAACGGCCACACUGGGACUGGGACACGGCCCAGACUCCUACGGGAGGCAGCAGUAGGGAAUCUUCGGCAAUGGACGGAAGUCUGACCGAGCAACGCCGCGUGAGUGAAGAAGGUUUUCGGAUCGUAAAGCUCUGUUGUAAGAGAAGAACGAGUGUGAGAGUGGAAAGUUCACACUGUGACGGUACCUUACCAGAAAGGGACGGCUAACUACGUG
RNAcentral lists this ribosomal RNA (495 nucleotides) under uncultured bacterium. RNAcentral describes it as "partial 16S ribosomal RNA". It matches the Rfam family "Bacterial small subunit ribosomal RNA", at positions 28 to 507 of the family's 1533-position model. The record is from RNAcentral.